UCCGGCUUAUCACCGGCAGUCUCCUUAGAGUUCCCAGCUUUACCUGUUGGCAACUAAGGACAGGGGUUGCGCUCGUUACGGGACUUAACCCAACAUCUCACGACAUGAGCUGACGACAGCCAUGCAGCACCUGUCUCUCGGCUCCCUCACGGGCACUCUAGCUUCUCUGCUAGAUUCCGAGGAUGUCAAGGGUAGGUAAGGUUCUUCGCGUUGCGUCGAAUUAAACCACAUGCUCCACCGCUUGUGCGGGCCCCCGUCAAUUCCUUUGAGUUUCGGUCUUGCGACCGUACUCCCCAGGCGGAGUGUUUCACGCGUUAGCUGGGCCCCUGAUCCACGUAGACCAAGGGCGAACACUCAUCGUUUACGGCAUGGACUAC
RNAcentral lists this unclassified non-coding RNA (377 nucleotides) under uncultured Pseudomonadota bacterium. RNAcentral describes it as "uncultured proteobacterium contains 16S-23S intergenic spacer region". The record is from RNAcentral. Lineage: Bacteria; Pseudomonadati; Pseudomonadota.